This 465-nucleotide ribosomal RNA is filed under the name uncultured bacterium. RNAcentral describes it as "partial 16S ribosomal RNA". It matches the Rfam family "Bacterial small subunit ribosomal RNA", at positions 338 to 795 of the family's 1533-position model. The record is from RNAcentral.
CCUACGCGAGGCAGCAGUGGGGAAUAUUGCGCAAUGGGCGAAAGCCUGACGCAGCGACGCCGCGUGAGGGCUGAAGGUCUUCGGAUCGUAAACCUCUGUCAGCAGGGAAGAACGGUCACUGUGCUAAUCAGCAGUGAAUUGACGGUACCUUCAAAGGAAGCACCGGCUAACUCAGUGCCAGCAGCCGCGGUAAUACUGAGGGUGCGAGCGUUAAGCGGAAUUACUGGGCGUAAAGCGCUCGUAGGCGGUAUGUCAAGUCAAGGGUGAAAUCCCCGCGCUCAACGUGGGAACUGCCUUUGAAACUGGUAAACUAGAGUGUGUGAGAGGAUAGUGGAAUUCCAGGUGGAGGAGUGAAAUCCGUAGAUAUCUGGAGGAACAUCAGUGGAGAAGGCGACUAUCUGGCACAUAACUGACGCUGAGGAGCGAAAGCGUGGGUAGCAAACAGGAUUAGAUACCCUAGUAGUC